AAGAAAAGAAAAAAUAUUUGGAGGAUUUACGACGUUGAUGACCGUUGAAAUGCACGUCAUCACGUCUUGCGUACAACAUAGAGGCUAGUGGCAGUGCGCGCUGUGCGGUGAAGACGUCAGGUCGAAGCAGCUCGACAAGGUUGGUGCUUGUAUCAGUGAAGGAUUCUGAGGUAACGUAAUUUAACAGAGUUAGAUCCAUUACGCAGAAAUCAAAGAAGGAGGCUGUGUAUGCAAAUAUCCCCAAAAGACGAUGAUCAAAUAGAGUAUCUACUGGAAUAAAUACUCAAGCUCAUACCUGACUCAGACCUCUUAGUUCACAUUUGUUCUCUGCCAGGAUGUUUAACUUCAGGUUUGUUUUUGUUGUUGUUGUUGUUAUUUUUAAUAUUAUUGUAAUGCAGUGAUUUACAGUCUCUCACACAUUCCCUGCACUGUAACAUACAGAAACAAUAGACAUCUAUUAUGUUUAUUUUCCAUAUUGUAUACUCCACAUUGUGUGUAUAUUUGAUAAAGGUGUAAUUCUGUGUAUAUUUUGUAUAGUGUAGAUACUGUACUAUAUUGUAUAAAUCCUGUAUUGUAUUGUAUUGUGUAUGUUAAUAUAUUUUUUUAUUAUUAUGUGUUACAUUCUGUACUAUGUGUAUAUUUUGUAUAUUUAUUUUCUAUAUUUGUAUAUUUUAUAGAGUCUACCUGUCAAAAGCACAGUCUGGAGUAUGUACUCAAGACUACACUUAAGUGUAAUAUUUCUACAUCUUUUGAAGAUACUUUUCACACUCUAAAUUUUGAAAUCAGUAUUGCUCUGCUCAUAUAGAGUUACUUAAGUGAUAGUAAAUCACACUAGCAAAACAACACAUAUUCCUGCCGUAGGACCUGAAGACAGACAGGUCUAAAUAAAUGGAUGAUCUUGACUUAAUAAACAUCAUGAAAACCAACGACAUAUUGAUUCAUACCCAUCUCUUUAUGCACAACCAGCUAAAUAGCCUUUACUACAAAUUUUCAAUUAACCCUAUUUUGUUAUCAUCAUCACUUUGUCUCCAGCUUUCUGC
Megalobrama amblycephala (Wuchang bream) is the source of this 1040-nucleotide long non-coding RNA. RefSeq lists it as uncharacterized. NCBI's taxonomy places the organism in Eukaryota, Metazoa, Chordata, Actinopteri, Cypriniformes, Xenocyprididae. The record is from RefSeq and is a predicted model, not a curated record. The transcript has 3 exons.